GAUGAACGCUGGCGGCGUGCCUAAUACAUGCAAGUCGAGCGAACGGACGAGAAGCUUGCUUCUCUGAUGUUAGCGGCGGACGGGUGAGUAACACGUGGAUAACCUACCUAUAAGACUGGGAUAACUUCGGGAAACCGGAGCUAAUACCGGAUAAUAUUUUGAACCGCAUGGUUCAAAAGUGAAAGACGGUCUUGCUGUCACUUAUAGAUGGAUCCGCGCUGCAUUAGCUAGUUGGUAAGGUAACGGCUUACCAAGGCAACGAUGCAUAGCCGACCUGAGAGGGAGAUCGGCCACACGGGAACAGAGACACGGUCCAGACUCCGACGGGAGGCAGCAGUAGGGAAUCUUCCGCAAUGGGCGAGAGCCUGACGGAGCAACGCCGCGUGAGUGAUGAUGGUCUUCGGAUCGGAAAACUCUGUUAUUAGGGAAGAACAUAUGUGUAAGUAACUGUGCACAUCGUGACGGUACCUAAUCAGAAAGCCACGGCUAACUACGUG
This 497-nucleotide ribosomal RNA is filed under the name uncultured bacterium. Its description in RNAcentral is "partial 16S ribosomal RNA". It matches the Rfam family "Bacterial small subunit ribosomal RNA", at positions 28 to 507 of the family's 1533-position model. The record is from RNAcentral.